UGGGAUAAUAUUCACUUUCAGUGAGUGCA
This 29-nucleotide non-coding RNA is filed under the name Mus musculus (house mouse). Lineage: Eukaryota; Metazoa; Chordata; Mammalia; Rodentia; Muridae. The record is from RNAcentral.